This is a long non-coding RNA of Oncorhynchus tshawytscha (Chinook salmon), 622 nucleotides long. The record is from Ensembl. NCBI's taxonomy places the organism in Eukaryota, Metazoa, Chordata, Actinopteri, Salmoniformes, Salmonidae.
ACACCAUAGUGCCCUCAAAUCUCAUCACUAAGCGUAAGGACCCUGGGACAAAACAGAGGGUAGUGCGUACGGCCCAGUAUAUCACUGAGGCCAAGCUUCCUGCCACCCAGGACCUCUCUAUACCAGGUGUGUAUAAAAAUGUCAAAGACUCCAGCCAUCCUAGUCAUAGACUGUUCUCUCUCUGCUACCGAAUGGCAAACACUACCGGACCGCCACGUCUAGGUCCAAAAGACUUCUUAACAGCUUCCACCCCCAAGCCAUGAGACUCCUGAACAGCUUCCACCCCCAAGCCAUGAGACUCCUGAACAGCUUCCACCCCCCAAGCCAUGAGACUCCUGAACAGCCGUCCACCCCCAAGCCAUGAGACUCCUGAACAGCCUUCCACCCUCAAGCCAUGAGACUCCUGAACAACUACUGCUGCUUUUUAAUUAUUUGGUAUCUUUUUUAACGUGUUUUGUUUCUGUAUUGUUGGUUAAGGGCUUGUAAGUAAGCAUUUCACUGUUUUAUUUGGCGCAUGUGACAUACACUUUGAUUUGCUUGGAUCUUGUGCUUUACCUUAUAAAGGUGCAGUUUCAGUCAUAUCCAAUACCAGGAGUAUCAUAUUCCAGUCGUUGAAUGAUGC